GUGCUCUCUUCGGCAGCACAUACACUAAAAUUGGAACAAUACAGAGAUGAUUAGCAGGGCACAAGGAUGACAUGCAAAUUCUAAAGCAUUUCAUCUUUUGU
RNAcentral lists this small nuclear RNA (101 nucleotides) under Macaca mulatta (Rhesus monkey). The record is from RNAcentral. Lineage: Eukaryota; Metazoa; Chordata; Mammalia; Primates; Cercopithecidae.